This is a long non-coding RNA of Tupaia belangeri chinensis (Chinese tree shrew), 426 nucleotides long. RefSeq lists it as uncharacterized. The record is from RefSeq and is a predicted model, not a curated record. The transcript is spliced from 3 exons. Lineage: Eukaryota; Metazoa; Chordata; Mammalia; Scandentia; Tupaiidae.
UUGGAAUAUCAUAUCUAAAGAUAUGACCUGAAAGCUAAGGACCUAAAGUAGAUCUCAAGAAAGCCAACGGAAGGCUUGGAAAGAUUUCCUGGAACUACAAACAGCUCUGCCUGGCAGGAAACCUGUUUGACUGUCCCCUGGGUCAGGACAUGUGGCACCCGAACAGGGACCCUGAGUAGAAGGAUCCAGUAAAGAGCACCCGAGAAAGGAUGACAGAGAAUCGUCCAGGAGAGGACAGGAGAGAAUCGUCCUGAGAAAAGACAGCAGAGAAUCUUCCAGAAAAGGACAGCAGAGAAUCAUCCAGGGACAGCAGAGAAUCGUCCAGAAGGGGACGGCAGAGAAUCAUCCCAAGAAAGGCCACAGAGGAGGAUGUCAGAGAAUCAUCCCGGUCUUUGCAACCAGCAACGUUAUCGCCCUGGCCCGGGA